GUCCUCAUGUUUUUAUUUGAGGUUUGGCCUGCCCGGUGAUUUUAAUUUAACGGCCGCGGUAUAUUGACCGUGCAAAGGUAGCAUAAUCAUUAGUCUUUUAAUAGGAGGCUGGAAUGAAAGGUUUAACGAAAAAUUAGCUGUCUUAAUUAUAAAUUCGAAUUUAACUUUUAAGUGAAAAGGCUUAAAUUUUUUUGUAGGACGAGAAGACCCUAUAGAGCUUUACAUUUAAUUUUUUGCUAUAUUAAUUUAGAUUAAUGUUUUUAAUUUACUUGAAAAAGUGUUUUGUUGGGGUGACAAGAAAUAUAUAUUUAACUUUUAUAUUAUAUUUUCAUUAAUUUAUGAUUAUUGGAUCCAAAACUUUUGAUCAUUAGAAUAAGUUACCUUAGGGAUAACAGCGUAAUCUUCCUUCAGAGUUCAAAUUUACGGGAAGGCUUGCGACCUCGAUGUUGGAUUAAGAUAACAAUUGGGUGCAGUAGCUCAAUAUGUAGGUCUGUUCGACCUUUAAAUUCUU
This 511-nucleotide ribosomal RNA is filed under the name Paracercion plagiosum. RNAcentral's name for it is "partial 16S ribosomal RNA". It matches the Rfam family "Bacterial large subunit ribosomal RNA", at positions 1831 to 2597 of the family's 2925-position model. The record is from RNAcentral. Lineage: Eukaryota; Metazoa; Arthropoda; Insecta; Odonata; Coenagrionidae.